GAAAUAAGAAAAUAGACAAAUAAAUAAAAACUUCCUUCUAUCACAAGAUGGCUUUUGAGAAAUAUUUUUUGGGUGAUCUGGACAUCAAAUUUCUGUGCUAAUACUCCCAAAAAUUUGAGGAAUUUGUGUGAUUCCGAAAAGAGGACCUUUUGAUGCAGAAAUAGGCGUGAAAAAUAGUACGACUAUACGUGAUGGUUCCCCAACACAAUACAGAGGUCCUUACGAAGUUUCUCGAGAAAAGUUUUUUUGAAUGCUCUGGAGACCAAAUUAAUGGGCUAAUAUACACGAAAAUUUGAGGAAUUUGCGCGAUUCCUAAAAAAGGGACCAUAUAUGUGGAAAUGGAUAUUAAAAAUGGUGUUAGCACACAUGAUGAUUCCCCAACUCAAUACGAAGGUCCUCAUAAAUUUUUUUGGUGCUCCAGGCGCCUUUAUCCAUGGGCUUAUACACACAAAAAAAAAUAAGAAAUUUGCACGAUUCCUAAAAAAAUGGUAUGUAUAUGCGAAAAUGGACGUGAAAAAAUAAUGUGACUAUAUGUGAUGGUUCCCCAUUUCAAUACAGAGGUUCUCAUUAGGUUUUUUGAGAAAAUCUUUUUGAGUGCUCCGAGCGUCACAUCCAUGUGCUAAAUACACACGAAAAUUGAAAAAUUUGCGCGAUUUCUAAAAAAGCCCUGUAGAUAUGAAAAUGUGGAUGAAAAAAUAGUUUGUGUGUAUGUGAUGGUUCGACAACAUAAUACGGAGGUCCUCAUAAAGCAUUUUGAGAAAAGAAUUGGGUUCUUUAGACGCCAGAUUCAUGGGCUAAUAUACACGAAAAAUUGAGCAAUCUACGUGAUUUAUAUAAAAAGGGCAUGUAAACAAGGAAAUGGCGUGAAAGCUAGUGUACGUAUACGUGAUGUUUCUCCAACUCAAUAUGGAGGUCCUCAUAAAUAUCUUUAAGAAAAAAGUUUUGGGUACUCCAGGCGCCAGAUACAUGGACUAAUACAUACAAAAGCUUGAGGAAUUGUAUGAUUUCUAAAAGAGGGUUGAUAUAUGCCGAAAUGGGUGUAUAAAAUGGUGUGAAUAUAAUGAUGUUUCCCCAACUCAAAAUAUUUUUUGAGAAUAAAUUUGGGGUGCUCAAUUCGGUUGAUCCAUGGGCUAAAACUCACAAAAAAUUGAACAAUUUGUCUGAUCCUUUAAAAAAGAUCUGUAGAUGCAAAAAUAGGCGUAAAAUAAAUGGUGUGCGUAUACGUGAUGAUUCCCCAACUUAAUACAGAGGUCCUUAUAAAGUUUUUGGAGAAAAAAGUUUAGGUCCUUAGAAAGCUAGAUCCAUGCACUAAUAAAAACGAAAGAUUAAGGAAUUUGCACAAUUAAAACAAAAAGGACAUGUAAAUAAUGAAAUGUGCGUGAAAAAUGGUAUGAGUAUACAUGAUAGUUCAUUAACUCAAUACAAAGGUUCUCAUAAAGUUUUGUGAGAAAAAUGUUUGGGUGCUCCAAUCGCCAUAUCCAUGAGCUAAUACAUACAAAAAAAAAAAUUGCGCAGUUCAUAAAAACGGCCUAUAGAUGUGGAAAUGGGCAUCAAAAAAAUGGUGUGAAUAUACGUGAUGGUUUCCGAACUCAAUAUAGAGGUUCUCAACUCCUCAUAAUGGUUAUUUAUAAGAAAAUUAGGGGUGCUCUGGGCGGUUAAAUAAUAGGCUAAUACACACAAAAAAAAUUGAGGAAUUUGUGCCAUUUCUAAAAAAAGCGUCUAGAUGCGGAAAUAGGCAAAAAAAAAUGUGUGAAAAUAUGUGAUGGUUCGCCAACUCAAUACAAAGAUUCUCAUAAUUUUUUUGAGAAAAAGAAUUAAGUGAUAGGGUUGCAAAAUCCAUAGGCUAAUACACACUAAAAGUUGAGGAAUUUGUGUGAUUCCUAAAAUAGGGUCUGUAGAUGCGAAAAUAGACAUUAAAAAAUGUUGUGAGUAUACACGAAAAAUAGAGGGAUUUACGCAAUUCUUAAAAAAGGGCAUAUAGAUAUGAAAUUUGGCGUGAUAAAAAUGAUGUGAGUAUACGUGAUUGUUCCUC
This 2032-nucleotide long non-coding RNA is filed under the name Solanum lycopersicum (tomato). RNAcentral's name for it is "partial TCONS_00200488". Lineage: Eukaryota; Viridiplantae; Streptophyta; Magnoliopsida; Solanales; Solanaceae. The record is from RNAcentral.